This 358-nucleotide unclassified non-coding RNA is filed under the name soil metagenome. RNAcentral's name for it is "partial contains 5.8S ribosomal RNA, internal transcribed spacer 2, and large subunit ribosomal RNA". The stretch from base 1 to 120 matches the Rfam family "5.8S ribosomal RNA", at positions 35 to 154 of the family's 154-position model. The record is from RNAcentral.
GAUGAAGAACGCAGCGAAAUGCGAUACGUAAUGUGAAUUGCAGAAUUCAGUGAAUCAUCGAAUCUUUGAACGCACAAUGCGCCCGUCAGUAUUCUGGCGGGCAUGCCUGUUCGAGCGUCAUUACGCCCCUCAAGUCCCCUGUGGACUUGGUGUUGGGGAUCGGCGAGGCUGGUUUUCCAGCACAGCCGUCCCUUAAAUUAAUUGGCGGUCUCGCCGUGGCCCUCCUCUGCGCAGUAGUAAAACACUCGCAACAGGAGCCCGGCGCGGUCCACUGCCGUAAAACCCCCCAACUUUUUAUAGUUGACCUCGAAUCAGGUAGGACUACCCGCUGAACUUAAGCAUAUCAAUAAGCGGAGGA